CCUACGGGUGGCAGCAGUGGGGAAUAUUGCACAAUGGGGGAAACCCUGAUGCAGCGACGCCGCGUGAAGGAAGAAGUAUUUCGGUAUGUAAACUACUAUCAGCAGGGAAGAAAAUGACGGUACUUGACUCAGCAGCACCGGCUAACUACGUGCCAGCAGCCGCGGUAAUACGGAGGGGGCAAGCGUUAUCCGGAUUUACUGGGUGUAAAGGGAGCGUAGGCGGUGCAGCAAGUCAGAUGUGAAAGCCCGGGGCUCAACUACGGGACUGCUUUUGAAACUGUUGAACUAGAUUGCAGGAGAGGUGAGUGGAAUUCCUGGUGUAGCGGUGAAAUGCGUAGAUAUCAGGAGGAACACCGGUGGCGAAGGCGGCCUACUGGACUAUAAAUGACGCUGAGGUUCGAAAGCGUGGGGAGCAAACAGGAUUAGAUACCCCAGUAGUC
Molecule: ribosomal RNA, 440 nt
Filed under: uncultured bacterium
Lineage: Bacteria
Description: partial 16S ribosomal RNA
Rfam family: Bacterial small subunit ribosomal RNA
Source: RNAcentral